Molecule: ribosomal RNA, 427 nt
Filed under: uncultured bacterium
Lineage: Bacteria
Description: bacterial SSU rRNA
Rfam family: Bacterial small subunit ribosomal RNA
Source: RNAcentral
UAGGGAAUCUUCCGCAAUGGACGAAAGUCUGACGGAGCAACGCCGCGUGAGUGAUGAAGGUUUUCGGAUCGUAAAGCUCUGUUGUUAGGGAAGAACAAGUAUCUGUUAAAUAAGCAGGUACCUUGACGGUACCUAACCAGAAAGCCACGGCCAACUACGUGCCAGCAGCCGCGGUAAUACGUAGGUGGCAAGCGUUGUCCGGAAUUAUUGGGCGUAAAGCGCGCGCAGGCGGUUCCUUAAGUCUGAUGUGAAAGCCCACGGCUCAAGAGGGGAGGGUCAUUGGACACGGGGGAGAUUGAGAGCAGAAGAGGGGAGCGGAAUUCCACGUGGAGAGGGGAGAGGCGGAGAGAGGUGGAGGGAGAGCAGGGGCGGAGGCGGCGCUCUGGUGGGUAACUGAGUCUGGGGGGCGAAGGCGGGGGGAGCGAAC